RNAcentral lists this unclassified non-coding RNA (335 nucleotides) under soil metagenome. RNAcentral describes it as "partial contains 5.8S ribosomal RNA, internal transcribed spacer 2, and large subunit ribosomal RNA". The stretch from base 1 to 120 matches the Rfam family "5.8S ribosomal RNA", at positions 35 to 154 of the family's 154-position model. The record is from RNAcentral.
GAUGAAGAACGUAGCGAAAUGCGAUAAGUAAUGUGAAUUGCAGAAUUCAGUGAAUCAUCGAAUCUUUGAACGCACAUUGCGCCCGCCAGUAUUCUGGCGGGCAUGCCUGUUCGAGCGUCAUUUCAACCAUCAAGCCCCAGGCUUGUGUUGGGGACCUGCGGCUGCCGCAGGCCCUGAAAACCAGUGGCGGGCUCGCUGUCACACCGGGCGUAGUAGAUUUUAUCUCGCUCAGGGCGUGCUGCGGGUUCCGGCCGUUAAAAAGCCUUUUUUACCCAAGGUUGACCUCGGGUCAGGUAGGAAGACCCGCUGAACUUAAGCAUAUCAAUAACGGAGGA